Long non-coding RNA from Panthera uncia (snow leopard), 197 nucleotides. RefSeq lists it as uncharacterized. The transcript is spliced from 2 exons. Lineage: Eukaryota; Metazoa; Chordata; Mammalia; Carnivora; Felidae. The record is from RefSeq and is a predicted model, not a curated record.
GGGGCGCCUGGGUGGCUCAGUCGGUUGAGCGUCUGACUUCGGCUCAGGUCACGAUCUCGUGGUCCAUGAGUUCGAGCCCCGCAUCGGGCUCUGGGCUGAUGGCUCAGAGCCUGGAGCCUGCUUCCCAUUCUGUGUCUCCCUCUCUCUCUGUCCCUCCCCCAUUCAUAUUCUGUCUCUCUCUGUCUCAAAAAUAAAUA